Panicum virgatum (switchgrass) is the source of this 2309-nucleotide long non-coding RNA. RefSeq lists it as uncharacterized. The transcript has 5 exons. The record is from RefSeq and is a predicted model, not a curated record. Lineage: Eukaryota; Viridiplantae; Streptophyta; Magnoliopsida; Poales; Poaceae.
CCGCCCCCUCCCUCCCUCGCCUGUCGCCCUCGGCCCUCCUCCCCAUCCGCGCCGCCGCCCGACUCCCCAUUCCGCGGCCGUUCCGGCGCCGUGCCCGACUCCGCCCCCGCCCGCGGCCGCUCAUGCCUCUCUCCUCCGCCCCUGCUUACCUGCCUCCUCCGCCGCCACGCCCCUCCUCCGCCGCCACGCCCCUCCUCCGCCGCCACGCCCCUGCGCACCUGCCCCCUCCGCCGCCCCUGCGCAUCUGCCUCAUCUGCCCUCAAGGGCCACGACCGAAAACGGUGGCGAGAGCCGGCGGAUCCAGCUGCUGCGGAGAGGAAGGGGCGGAUCCAGCCGGGGUUGGGACUGCUGGUCCCUGCCCGCUCGUCAGCCCUGCCUCCGCAUCAAGGAUGCUCAACGUUGGGCCCCCGUGGUCGCGCCGUCCCCGACUCGCCCGACGGUUCCCAGCCGUGCCCGGCCGUCUCAGCACCAAUUCUUUCUGCCGGUAACCUCCUCCUUUUUCUCUCCACGGCCUCCUCCAAUCUUCACUGUAUACCAGGUGCCGUCCGUCUCCCUUCUUGCCACCUUAUAAACUUGCUUCUCACCACCUCUCACUGAUGCAUACCAGGUGCUUGAUGGAAUUACCCAUAAAAUAACUACUCUUUGCAUUGAUCUACUGCCAGGUUUCAGGGCACAGUUUUUUCAAGAAUUGAAGGGAUCAUAAUCUCCCUACAAUAUCUCAAAAAGUAUGGUUGGAUGCGGAGAUUCAGGUAGGAAGACACUUUAGUUGUUUUGGAUUGUUUUCACUUUAGGGGGCAAUGGAUGGUGAUUCGCAAUUUACUUCUGUUCAACUAAUUUUCUUGUCUUAGUAAAUAUUGUAGUGUUCCUGUACUGUUGAAGAAUCUAGAUCAUCGUGAAUUAGCUCUCCUGUGCAGCUUUCACAUAUCAGUUAUCACAUUGACCGAAGAAGCAUGUGUUCUAUCAUUUUUUAACCUGCAAAAGGAAAACUUCUGCAACUGUAAUCCAAAGUAACCUGAAUCUGCACAUCGAAUGGUUGUUUCCUUCUUGAUAUCUGUAAAAAACACAUGCAGGUCUGAUUGUUUCCUUUUUGAUGAAAUUCCCCAUCCCUUGGCAGUUGAUGUAUGAGCUGCUACCUAACAAGUGGGUGUAGGCUGAGAACGUGCUAUUUGGUGCACGUGUUGCAAUUAGCUUGUUGCUUGGUAUUUGUAUGCCCGGGUAGGGUCUUGCUCGGCGAGGCAUGUAGCAAACAACUUCUUUUCGUGUUGUACUUUUGGGUUGGCAUUCCUGUGUAACCGCACAGCUAAUAUUAGAUGUUGUUCCCAGAUCCUGGAUAUGCAAUGUACAAUAUGAUAUUCUGUUGGCUUGUUGGACUAUGAAGUUGUUUCUUAUAUAUUCAGCUAUCUGCUACAAUUCUUGUCGGUGUCAUUGUGAUUCCAGCAUUAGGUCCAAGUACUAAUUUCUUUUCAUUUCAUCUAACAGAUCAAUUUAACUUGGGAGACCAUUCCGAUAAGUACAGUAGCUAGAUUUAAUGGUAUUUUCCUUAGCUGCAUUUUUUGUUCUGUUCAUGUAUCGUCAUCUGACUACUCUUCAAUUGCAGAGGCUUUAUGAGAAUUUUCACAAAGAAGCACCUGCUGAUCUACUAGCCCAUCUAGGAAGUUUGGAUGCCUGUUCUAAUCAGUGUUUUUAUAACAGUUCAAUGUAUUUCAUGGAGGUUUCUAUGUUGACAUGAAAAUAAAUUUGCCUAAAGGCAAAACAUUCCUGGCAUCUUUCCCGUGGGAUUUGGCUCUCACAAAAACAAUCUUGGAGACCUGACGGCAGAAUAUAUUUCAUGGAGGUCGAUGCUGUGCAUUACCGCCACAAAAGAAGGUCAUGGCGGUUGCCUCUCAUGAAAAUGGCAUUUUCGUGAAGUCCAAUUUGUGAGAGCAUUUUCAUAGCAGUUAUAUCAUGUCCACUUGUACACAAAUGGGACUGUAUGCGAUCUCACAGACAUUCCCUGUGAGACUAAGGUUAGAUUUGUCUGAACCCACUGUCCUAAUCAGUUCGAUCAAGGAGAUCUCUUCCUGCAAAUAUGUUGUAACAAUUCAAAGCCCGAUGCUGUGCCAAACAAUACCUUGUCAAUAAAAUCCAGAUUUUUUUCAACUCAACAUGAAGUGGGGUACUGAUGCUUUUGAUGUUGUAGUGUCUUAGCCAAGGAAAAUGUGUGAAAUCAGUUACUUUUUAGCUGGUGUACGGACCUUGUACAAUACUUCAAGGAAUCGGAUAAAUUCUUGAUAAAAUAAAGCUGUUGUAUGGUGUAUUCAGUUACUUCA